GUUGAUGACGUCAUAGUCAGAGAGUUACACGGGUUGAGGACACAGGCGUAUCCAAAGCCACACGGGCGUGUGUGACCACACGGCCUACCCGCACAGGCAUGUGACUCUCCAAAUUAAUAAAAUUUUCUAAGUGUCAAAAUGGUUUUGAAAGUUUUCGAUUUAGUCCUAAAGCGUUUCUGGUGUAUGCUUUGGGUUUCAUAGGCC
RNAcentral lists this long non-coding RNA (204 nucleotides) under Gossypium barbadense (sea-island cotton). RNAcentral's name for it is "long non-coding RNA (GBAR_LNC001452)". Lineage: Eukaryota; Viridiplantae; Streptophyta; Magnoliopsida; Malvales; Malvaceae. The record is from RNAcentral.